Chionomys nivalis (European snow vole) is the source of this 1437-nucleotide RNA transcript. It is a transcript of the gene named sodium/potassium transporting ATPase interacting 4, with no coding region annotated. NCBI's taxonomy places the organism in Eukaryota, Metazoa, Chordata, Mammalia, Rodentia, Cricetidae. The transcript is spliced from 8 exons. The record is from RefSeq and is a predicted model, not a curated record.
GGCAGACUGGGCUGGGGUCUGCUAGGCUUACCCGAGGCAAGCUGGGACGGGAUCCCUAAGAGGCGGCGUCUGCCAGGCAAGGAGGGGCGGGGGCACCGUGGACCGAAGCUUUCGCACACGGCGGGCUCCGGCCCACUCUAGCAGCAAAGGCGCCCGCGGGAGGCGUGAAUACCAUGGGCUCUUGCUCCGGCCGCUGCACCCUUCUUGCGCUCUGCGCUCUUCAGCUGGUCACUGCUCUGGAGCGGCAGGUGUUUGACUUCCUGGGCUACCAGUGGGCACCCAUCCUGGCCAACUUCAUCCACAUCAUCGUGGUCAUCUUGGGACUCUUCGGCACCCUCCAGUAUCGGCCACGCUACAUUGUGGUGUAUGCUGUGUGGGCAGCUGUCUGGGUUACCUGGAAUGUCUUCAUUAUCUGCUUCUACCUGGAAGUGGGGGGCCUCUCAAAGGACAGUGAGCUCUUGACCUUCAAUCUCUCCCAGCACCGCUCCUGGUGGAAAGAGCAUGGGCCAGGCUGUCUUCAUGAAGAGGCAGCCACAGCCGGCCUGGGAGCAAUGCAUGGCCAGUCCUUGGUGGUAGAUGCUGGAUGUGCCACGGUGUACAGCUAUAUGGAAGCCCUGCACAGUGGUCUGCAGAUCCUGCUGGCGCUCCUGGGUUUCGUCUAUGGCUGCUACGUGGUCAGCGUGCUCACAGAAGAAGAAGACAGCUUUGAUUUCAUUGGUGGAUUUGACCCAUUCCCCCUGUACCAUGUCAAUGAAAAGCCGUCCAGCCUCUUGUCCAAGCAGGCAUAUUUAUCACAUUUCCUUCUCUAAAGCAGUACCACGGCCCUACAGAUGCCAUGGCCAUGCCUGGGCUUCCUGGAAGUCUUGGAAUUGAGGCCUGCAUAAGUGAGAAAACAGUUGAGCCUCCCAGUUUCAGCCGCUGGAACAAUGAGGAGACUCCAGGCCUGGAGUCACAGCCCUGCUUCCCUGCCUGCCUAGCAUUCUUUCCAAAUUCCCCUUGGAUACCAGUGAGGGGCGGGGCACACUGCAGGCCAGGGUGGCUGCGACUGUGAGUUUGUAAUUUCUCUUUCUUUCUCUCUUCCUUUCUUUUUUCUUUCUCUCUUCCUUUCUUUUUUUCUAAAAAAAAAAAAAAGUAAGACAAGACAUGAGAGAAUACAGAAACAAACUGGAUCCCUGGUCUUCUUGGGCAACUGGCAGUGAACCUAGGCAGUUUUCCCAGGCGUCCCCAGAGUGCUCUGACCUGAGGUUACAGGACCUGCAGACCACACACCACGUAUGGAAAGGCUCAGCAGAGGACAAUGAGAAGGUUCAGUCCCAUCAGGAAGUCCCUAUGAGUCACCAAGAUCCAAGAGUGACAAAGGUCUUGAAUAAAUACUGCAGUACCCUAGCUGCAGAUCUUAUUCACGCAAAGGCCCUUGCCCCACUGAGGCCAGUGCAU